AGCUGCUCUGAAGGUAGUGAGUUAUCUCAGUUGAUUGUUCACAGUCAGUUACAGAUUGAACUCCUUGUUCUACUCUUUUCCCCGUUCUCACUAUUGCACUUGAAUAGUCUUAA
Unclassified non-coding RNA from Homo sapiens (human), 113 nucleotides. It matches the Rfam family "Y RNA". From Rfam's summary of the family: Y RNAs are components of the Ro ribonucleoprotein particle (Ro RNP), in association with Ro60 and La proteins. The Y RNAs and Ro60 and La proteins are well conserved, but the function of the Ro RNP is not known. In humans the RNA component can be one of four small RNAs -- hY1, hY3, hY4 and hY5. The record is from Ensembl. Lineage: Eukaryota; Metazoa; Chordata; Mammalia; Primates; Hominidae.